Molecule: long non-coding RNA, 739 nt
Organism: Dreissena polymorpha
Lineage: Eukaryota; Metazoa; Mollusca; Bivalvia; Myida; Dreissenidae
Exons: 5
Source: RefSeq, a predicted model, not a curated record
GUCCCUAAUUAGCCUGUGAAGUCUGCACAGGCUUAUCUGGGAAGACACAUUAAGCAUCAUAUUCAUUGGAAGGUAUUGUCCCUAAUUAGCCUGUGAAGUCUGCACAGGCUUAUCUGGGAAGACACAUUAAGCAUCAUAUUCAUUGGAAGGUAUUGUCCCUAAUUAGCCUGUGAAGUCUGCACAGGCUUAUCUGGGAAGACACAUUAAGCAUCAUAUUCAUUGGAAGGUAUUGUCCCUAAUUAGCCUGUGAAGUCUGCACAGGCUUAUCUGGGAAGACACAUUAAGCAUCAUAUUCAUUGGAAGGUAUUGUCCCUAAUUAGCCUGUGAAGUCUGCACAGGCUUAUCUGGGAAGACACAUUAAGCAUCAUAUUCAUUGGAAGGUGCUGUCCCUAAUUAGCCUAUGAAGUCUGCACAGGCUUAUCUGGGAAGACACAUUAAGCACAAAGAUUAAGCACACUUUGUCCAGAGCAAGUCUCGUUUUACACCUGAUUUUUUAUGCUAUCAUUAAAAUAUUUUAAUCUUAAUCCUUUAGCACUCAAGAUGCACAUUUUGACACGUUUGUAGUCCCUUAGCAAAUCAAAUUAAAAUUAAGCACUUUCUUACUAUAUUCAAGUGUGUAAGGCGUCAUUUCUAACCCUAACUUACUGAUGAGUAGCAAACAGCAUAAAACCUGAACAGACUGUUGGUUGAAUAUAGCCAUUUUCACUCUGCUAUGAGUGGGAAAGGGUUAAACAAAUAU